CCCAGACUCCUACGGGAGGCAGCAGUGAGGAAUAUUGGUCAAUGGGCGGGAGCCUGAACCAGCCAAGUCGCGUGAGGAAAGACGGUCCUAUGGAUUGUAAACCUCUUUAGGCGGGGAGCAAUGCCGGGCACGCGUGCCCGGAGGGAGAGUACCCGCAGAAUAAGCAUCGGCUAACUCCGUGCCAGCAGCCGCGGUAAUACGGAGGAUGCGAGCGUUAUCCGGAUUUAUUGGGUUUAAAGGGUGCGCAGGCGGAUUUUUAAGUCAGCGGUCAAAUCGUGGGGCUCAACCCCAUCCAGCCGUUGAAACUGGGGAUCUAGAGUGUGCGAGAGGUAUGCGGAAUGCGUGGUGUAGCGGUGAAAUGCAUAGAUAUCACGCAGAACCCCGAUUGCGAAGGCAGCAUGCCGGCUUCCGACUGACGCUGAAGCACGAAAGCGUGGGGAUCGAACAGGAUUAGAUACCCGUGUA
This 465-nucleotide ribosomal RNA is filed under the name uncultured bacterium. RNAcentral's name for it is "bacterial SSU rRNA". It matches the Rfam family "Bacterial small subunit ribosomal RNA", at positions 330 to 792 of the family's 1533-position model. The record is from RNAcentral.